This 495-nucleotide ribosomal RNA is filed under the name uncultured bacterium. Its description in RNAcentral is "partial 16S ribosomal RNA". It matches the Rfam family "Bacterial small subunit ribosomal RNA", at positions 28 to 507 of the family's 1533-position model. The record is from RNAcentral.
GACGAACGCUGGCGGCGUGCCUAAUACAUGCAAGUAGAACGCUGAAGGAGGAGCUUGCUUCUCUGGAUGAGUUGCGAACGGGUGAGUAACGCGUAGGUAACCUGCCUGGUAGCGGGGGAUAACUAUUGGAAACGAUAGCUAAUACCGCAUAAGAGUAGAUGUUGCAUGACAUUUGCUUAAAAGGUGCAAUUGCAUCACUACCAGAUGGACCUGCGUUGUAUUAGCUAGUUGGUGGGGUAACGGCUCACCAAGGCGACGAUACAUAGCCGACCUGAGAGGGGGGUCGGCCAAACUGGGACUGAGACAAGGCCCAGACUCGUACGGGAGGGAGCAGGAGGGAAUCUUCGGCAAUGGACGGAAGUCUGACCGAGCAACGCCGCGCGAGUGAAGAAGGGUUUCGGGUCGUAAAGCUCUGUUGUAAGAGAAGAACGAGUGUGAGAGUGGAAAGUUCACACUGUGACGGUAUCUUACCAGAAAGGGACGGCUAACUACGUG